This 486-nucleotide ribosomal RNA is filed under the name uncultured bacterium. RNAcentral describes it as "bacterial SSU rRNA". It matches the Rfam family "Bacterial small subunit ribosomal RNA", at positions 28 to 511 of the family's 1533-position model. The record is from RNAcentral.
GAUGAACGCUAGCGGCAGGCCUAAUACAUGCAAGUCGAACGGUAGAUCGGGUAGCAAUACUUGAUUGAGAGUGACGUAAGGGUGCGUAACACGUAUGCAAUCUACCCUCAACAGGAGUAUAGCUCGGGGAAACUCGGAUUAACACUCCAUAACAUUACGAUGUGGCAUCACAUUGUGAUUAAAACUCCGGUGGUUGAGGAUGAGCAUGCGUCUGAUUAGUUAGUUGGAGGUGUAACGGACCCCCAAGACGAUGAUCAGUAGGGGAACUGAGAGGUUGAUCCCCCCACACUGGCACUGAGAUACGGGCCAGACUCCUACGGGAGCAGCAGUAGGGAAUAUUGGUCAAUGGGUGAGAGCCUGAACCAGCCAUGCCGCGUGCAGGAAGACGGCCUUCUGGGUUGUAAACUGCUUUUANCUGGGGAUAAAAGCCCAUGCGUGGGACAUUGAAGGUACCAGAUGAAUAAGCACCGGCUAACUACGUGCCAG